Amaranthus tricolor (Joseph's coat) is the source of this 517-nucleotide long non-coding RNA. RefSeq lists it as uncharacterized. Lineage: Eukaryota; Viridiplantae; Streptophyta; Magnoliopsida; Caryophyllales; Amaranthaceae. The transcript has 3 exons. The record is from RefSeq and is a predicted model, not a curated record.
CUGAAACUACCUAAAAAUAAUAACCCCUUUAUUUUCAGUUUUCAAUCGCCAUUUUCGACUAUAAAACUUUCCAUCUUCAACAUUUGCUUAGUUCUCAUCAAAGGUAUGUAUCUUCUUCAACAUUUGCAAGACCAUCAAAGCUUCAUCAAUGGUGGAAAUAGUAAUGUUGAAAAAGACAACAAUGGUGAAAAUAGUGAUGUUGAAGAAAGAAAGGUUUAAAAUUUGGGAAAGAUAAGUAAUGGUGUUGUCUUGCCUUCUGUAUUCACAAAGAAUAUCAUAUCAAAAUAACAACCCUCAACAAUCAAAGGUGGUUGAUUAAGUACCCAAACAAAGGGCUUAUAGUAGCUGGAAUUAUAAUAUUAUGUAUUUUGAUUUAUAAUAUUGUGUAUUUGGGUUUAUAAUAGUGGUAUUUGUCGUAUUGUUAUGUAUUCAUAUUUGGGAUUAUGUUGGAAGUAUAAUAGUGUGUAUCUGAAUUUAUAAUAGUGUGUAUAUGGGUUUAUAAUAGAUUGAAUUUGUG